Molecule: ribosomal RNA, 254 nt
Filed under: uncultured bacterium
Lineage: Bacteria
Description: partial 16S ribosomal RNA
Rfam family: Bacterial small subunit ribosomal RNA
Source: RNAcentral
UACGUAGGGUCCGAGCGUUGUCCGGAAUUAUUGGGCGUAAAGGGCUCGUAGGCGGUCUGUUGCGUCGGGAGUGAAAACUUACAGCUUAACUGUGAGCGUGCUUCCGAUACGGGCAGACUUGAGGUAUUCAGGGGAGAACGGAAUUCCUGGUGUAGCGGUGAAAUGACGCAGAUAUCAGGAGGAACACCGGUGGCGAAGGCGGUUCUCUGGGCAACAACUGACGCUGAGGAGCGAAAGCGUGGGGAGCGAACAGG